AUUGAACGCUGGCGGCAGGCCUAACACAUGCAAGUCGAGCGGAUGAAGGGAGCUUGCUCCUGGAUUCAGCGGCGGACGGGUGAGUAAUGCCUAGGAAUCUGCCUGGUAGUGGGGGAUAACGUCCGGAAACGGGCGCUAAUACCGCAUACGUCCUGAGGGAGAAAGUGGGGGAUCUUCGGACCUCACGCUAUCAGAUGAGCCUAGGUCGGAUUAGCUAGUUGGUGGGGUAAAGGCCUACCAAGGCGACGAUCCGUAACUGGUCUGAGAGGAUGAUCAGUCACACUGGAACUGAGACACGGUCCAGACUCCUACGGGAGGCAGCAGUGGGGAAUAUUGGACAAUGGGCGAAAGCCUGGUCCAGCCAUGCCGCGUCUGUGAAGAAGGUCUUCGGAUUGUAAAGCACUUUAAGUUGGGAGGAAGGGCAGUAAGUUAAUACCUUGCUGUUUUGACGUUACCAACAGAAUAAGCACCGGCUAACUUCGUG
RNAcentral lists this ribosomal RNA (484 nucleotides) under uncultured bacterium. RNAcentral's name for it is "partial 16S ribosomal RNA". It matches the Rfam family "Bacterial small subunit ribosomal RNA", at positions 30 to 507 of the family's 1533-position model. The record is from RNAcentral.